RNAcentral lists this long non-coding RNA (294 nucleotides) under Musa acuminata (dwarf banana). Its description in RNAcentral is "long non-coding RNA (MACU_LNC005894)". Lineage: Eukaryota; Viridiplantae; Streptophyta; Magnoliopsida; Zingiberales; Musaceae. The record is from RNAcentral.
UGCUGACGCAGUGGGACUACAGGAAAGGAAGGUGGGUUGUGGUAGACCGGGAUUCCCCUUAUGGGCUUCAGCAAGCCGAGGUCUUCGUGAUAGUCUUCUGAUAGUAGUGGGUGGUGGUGGUGGUGGAAGUGGAGAUGGUGAUGGUGGUGGCGAGGGUGAGGGUGGAGGCGGGGAAGCAGGCUGUUCCUUGAGUCGCCGGAGUAGGUGGCACUUGGGUUAGCUAAGGAGAGAGUGAUGUCGUCGGCCUUUGCCGUGCAAGGGUUGGUGAUGUUCUUGUUGAUACUCUUGCUGGUC